This 504-nucleotide ribosomal RNA is filed under the name uncultured bacterium. RNAcentral describes it as "bacterial SSU rRNA". It matches the Rfam family "Bacterial small subunit ribosomal RNA", at positions 107 to 607 of the family's 1533-position model. The record is from RNAcentral.
UGAGUAAUGUCUGGGAAACUGCCCGAUGGAGGGGGAUAACUACUGGAAACGGUAGCUAAUACCGCGUAACGUCUUCGGACCAAAGUGGGGGACCUUCGGGCCUCACACCAUCGGAUGUGCCCAGAUGGGAUUAGCUAGUAGGUGGGGUAAUGGCUCACCUAGGCGACGAUCCCUAGCUGGUCUGAGAGGAUGACCAGCCACACUGGAACUGAGACACGGUCCAGACUCCUACGGGAGGCAGCAGUGGGGAGUAUUGCACAAUGGGCGCAAGCCUGAUGCAGCCAUGCCGCGUGUAUGAAGAAGGCCUUCGGGUUGUAAAGUACUUUCAGUGGGGAGGAAGGCGUUAAGGUUAAUAACCUUGGCGAUUGACGUUACCCGCAGAAGAAGCACCGGCUAACUCCGUGCCAGCAGCCGCGGUAAUACGGAGGGUGCAAGCGUUAAUCGGAAUUACUGGGCGUAAAGCGCACGCAGGCGGUCUGUCAAGUCGGAUGUGAAAUCCCCGGG